Zingiber officinale is the source of this 100-nucleotide small nucleolar RNA. RefSeq annotates it as small nucleolar RNA Z103. The transcript has a single exon. NCBI's taxonomy places the organism in Eukaryota, Viridiplantae, Streptophyta, Magnoliopsida, Zingiberales, Zingiberaceae. The record is from RefSeq and is a predicted model, not a curated record.
UUUGAUGUGAUGUUCCUUUCCUCGAAUGAUCGAUAGUGAACACGGUGAGCGAUUUUUACUUAAAUUUGAGUAGUGGAAUUCAAGCCAGGAUUCUUUCUUU